This 20-nucleotide non-coding RNA is filed under the name Rattus norvegicus (Norway rat). Lineage: Eukaryota; Metazoa; Chordata; Mammalia; Rodentia; Muridae. The record is from RNAcentral.
ACAAGGUUUUGAUGAAGGUU